GAGUUUUCACCAUUUCAUAAAAAAUCUUGGAGAAAAGAAGUUGGCAAUAAAUCAUUUACCAAACUUGAUAUUUCCACAAUUUGACAAAAGAUUUGGACCUAGAAUCUUUCAUUUUGUCAAUUAAAGAGAAUCUGAAAAACUUCAGUUUUGUAAUUAACUGCUCAUUAAGGAACUGAAUUAAAACUCUACAGUAACAUCUGAUAUUUUGACCGAAAACACACAAACCCAUUAAAGAAAAUUUUGUAAACGCAUGGGUUAAAGCCAGGAAAAACCAGAGGCUAAACCGACCCAUCACAUGCAACCCAACAGAGAAACCACCUCAGAGACACAAACAAGCACGGCACAGGUCCCCAUAUGGGUGUCUUGAAUUCAUG
Molecule: unclassified non-coding RNA, 374 nt
Filed under: Hevea brasiliensis (rubber tree)
Lineage: Eukaryota; Viridiplantae; Streptophyta; Magnoliopsida; Malpighiales; Euphorbiaceae
Source: RNAcentral